CCUACGGGGGGCAGCAGUGAGGAAUAUUGGUCAAUGGACGAGAGUCUGAACCAGCCAAGUAGCGUGAAGGAUGACUGCCCUAUGUGUUGUAAACUUCUUUUAUAUGGGAAUAAAAUGUUCCACGUGUGGGAUUUUGUAUGUACCAUAUGAAUAAGGAUCGGCUAACUCCGUGCCAGCAGCCGCGGUAAUACGGAGGAUCCGAGCGUUAUCCGGAUUUAUUGGGUUUAAGGGGAGCGUAGGUGGAUUGUUAAGUCAGUUGUGAAAGUUUGCGGCUCAACCGUAAAAUUGCAGUUGAAACUGGCAGUCUUGAGUACAGUAGAGGUGGGCGGAAUUCGUGGUGUAGCGGUGAAAUGCUUAGAUAUCACGAAGAACUCCGAUUGCGAAGGCAGUUCACUGGACUGCAACUGACACUGAGGCUCGAAAGUGUGGGUAUCAAACAGGAUUAGAUACCCUUGUAGUC
RNAcentral lists this ribosomal RNA (460 nucleotides) under uncultured bacterium. RNAcentral's name for it is "partial 16S ribosomal RNA". It matches the Rfam family "Bacterial small subunit ribosomal RNA", at positions 338 to 795 of the family's 1533-position model. The record is from RNAcentral.